RNAcentral lists this long non-coding RNA (249 nucleotides) under Rattus norvegicus (Norway rat). RNAcentral describes it as "long non-coding RNA NONRATT013407". The record is from RNAcentral. Lineage: Eukaryota; Metazoa; Chordata; Mammalia; Rodentia; Muridae.
GAAGAGGCGGGCCAUCCCACAUGGAGAGGAAGGCGGGAGAGGAGAACGCUCCUGCGUGCUACGGGUCCAUGAAUAGAGAAGAAAUCUGUCUGGAAUUAAUUACCCCAGGGACCACAUCUGGACCUGAUACAGAUGGUGUUUUGCAUUUCUGAGCUGAUGAUAUUUCGAUAAGAUUUCUUUGAAGUGAUGCCAUGACAGGAAGAGACUUCUGUGAAUCUUUUAGAGUAAAAUACAUAUUUUACAUGGGAA